UCUCCCACUCUGACUUGUCUUCGAUCAUCACUCCCGCUCUGAGUUGCGAGCUCGAUCGCGCAGGCAAUGGCGGCCCGCGGUGGAAGGCUGAGGGCCCUUCCACUUGGUCCAAGGGGCGCUUGGGCUUGGAGCUGCUGCGGAGUUCGGACGCUGCUACUGCAAUGAGUACCGCAAGUGCGGGCUCCAGCACAAUGGAGAGCUCACCUGCAUCAAGAGCGCCCACUAUGGCUGCAUAAAAAAGUUCAAGACGCUUUGCUCCAAGCAUCCUGCUGGCCCCGCUGACAUGGGUGCGGCAGAUGCAGCUGGAGCCGGUGGCCGCAACCUCAGCGAGGCCAACGGCACCGGAGAGGAAACAGCUGCAUGAGAGCUGGCCUGCUGCCUGCUGGGGGAUGAGGGUGGUAUGCUGGAGGACAAGACAUAUUCGGCCACAGCCCAGGCUGAGAAUAUAUAUUAACUAAGUAGAAUAAAUAAUGCCAGACCAUCCUUCCUUCAUACUGUUACGUAGUAGCUUGUUAUGACUGAAUGUCCUGCCACUGAGAACGUUUGCUGUCCUGGUUAUAUGAACUUGAACAUGUGCUUGCCGUUUUAUAUAUGAUCAAUCAAUUAUAAAGAUUACAUCUCUGCAUGUCUGGGCUUCUCUAUCUCUCUUAA
Long non-coding RNA from Triticum dicoccoides, 651 nucleotides. RefSeq lists it as uncharacterized. NCBI's taxonomy places the organism in Eukaryota, Viridiplantae, Streptophyta, Magnoliopsida, Poales, Poaceae. The transcript is spliced from 2 exons. The record is from RefSeq and is a predicted model, not a curated record.